CGAGAUAAAGGAAAGAAGAGUGAGAAUC
RNAcentral lists this non-coding RNA (28 nucleotides) under Cricetulus griseus (Chinese hamster). The record is from RNAcentral. Lineage: Eukaryota; Metazoa; Chordata; Mammalia; Rodentia; Cricetidae.